RNAcentral lists this ribosomal RNA (253 nucleotides) under uncultured bacterium. RNAcentral's name for it is "partial 16S ribosomal RNA". It matches the Rfam family "Bacterial small subunit ribosomal RNA", at positions 524 to 776 of the family's 1533-position model. The record is from RNAcentral.
UACAGAGGAGCCAAGCGUUGUCCGGAUUGACUGGGCGUAAAGCGCACGCAGGUGGUCGUGCAAGUGUCGUGUGAAAGCAGCUCGCUCAACGAGCUGAUGCCAUGGCAGACUGCAUAACUCGAGCCCGUGAGAGGUCGGUGGAAUUGCCGGUGUAGUGGUGACAUACGUAGAUAUCGGCAGGAACACCCAAGGGGAAGCCAGCCGACUGGCACGGUGCUGACACUGAGGUGCGAGAGCGUGGGGAGCAAACGGG